RNAcentral lists this ribosomal RNA (254 nucleotides) under uncultured bacterium. Its description in RNAcentral is "partial 16S ribosomal RNA". It matches the Rfam family "Bacterial small subunit ribosomal RNA", at positions 526 to 779 of the family's 1533-position model. The record is from RNAcentral.
CGUAGGGGCAAGCGUUAUCCGGAUUUACUGGGGUGUAAAGGGAGCGUAGACGGCUGUGCAAGUCUGAAGUGAAAGGCAUGGGCUCAACCUGUGGACUGCUUUGGAAACUGUGCAGCUAGAGUGUCGGAGAGGUAAGUGGAAUUCCUAGUGUAGCGGUGAAAUGCGUAGAUAUUAGGAGGAACACCAGUGGCGAAGGCGGCUUACUGGACGAUGACUGACGUUGAGGCUCGAAAGCGUGGGGAGCAAACAGGAUU